Long non-coding RNA from Pezoporus flaviventris, 301 nucleotides. RefSeq lists it as uncharacterized. Lineage: Eukaryota; Metazoa; Chordata; Aves; Psittaciformes; Psittacidae. The record is from RefSeq and is a predicted model, not a curated record. The transcript is spliced from 2 exons.
AUUCUCCACUGAUCUGGGGAGAUGUGACUGGGUUUGUGAGCAGGCAGAUUAAAAGAUGAGCAAGCUCUAAGAAAAAUCACGCAAUACAUUUCCCAGCUACUUUGCUUUCCUAUUGCAGGGUUGGACACAUUUUAAAAAACCCUAAAACAUAUGUAAGAAAUUGACAUCUGAAAGGCCGGCAGAAGCAAACGAGGUUGUGCCAUUGCUCUGUGACACACAGCACUAGAUGGCCGUGUUUCCUACCGAAAACAAGUUCCCUGGAAGAGUGAACACUGGAAUAAAUAACCUCCCUUUGACCGCA